RNAcentral lists this long non-coding RNA (412 nucleotides) under Mytilus galloprovincialis (Mediterranean mussel). Lineage: Eukaryota; Metazoa; Mollusca; Bivalvia; Mytilida; Mytilidae. The record is from RNAcentral.
CUGAAUUCGAUAUCUCUACUACGAUUUUUUUUUUUUUUUUUUGUAUUUCUUAUUGACUGUCGGUCCCCAUACAGUACACCUAGAGACCGUUCAGAAGUCCAAAUGAACGAACUAGGAUGAUUGCUUACAUCCACUUCACUUGAACUUUGGCGGAAAGUUUUCUCAUUGGCAAUCUACCUUAUUUUCAUAAAUAGUAACAAUCUAUCACUGGGCAAUUUUGUAACGAUCGUUUUGCACAAAAUACAAAAAAGUGAAUUGUACAUGCUAUUGGCGAGAAUAGGAACUUGUGGUUGAUUUUUGUAUUUAACCGAUAUUAAAAUGUUUUAUUAAUUUUUUUUUAAAAUAACUUUUAUACAGUUUUGUGAUGCAAAUAUAAAAGUCAUUCUGUUACAUAUUUUUUUUGUUGGGUGGG